Aegilops tauschii subsp. strangulata is the source of this 949-nucleotide non-coding RNA. NCBI's taxonomy places the organism in Eukaryota, Viridiplantae, Streptophyta, Magnoliopsida, Poales, Poaceae. The record is from RefSeq and is a predicted model, not a curated record.
AUUUGAGAGAGAACAAUAUCAGUCUCAGCAAGGUGCACAACAUACUAAAUGCAACACAUGGUGAUCAGGCUGUUGCACUGUUCCGUAAGCAAUCUUUAAGGUAUCUAUGCUCUCGGAUUGCUCAGGAUUCGAUAUCUGACGAUAUGGAAAAAACUGUAAAAUUGCUAGAUGAAAUGAAGUGUGUGGAUCCAAGCCUGUCAGUAUGUGUAGAAAUCGAUCAUGAGGGUUCCCCUAAGUUCAUCUUAUGGUGUACUGGGAAGAAUAAACAGGAUUAUGUGUACUUUGGUGAUGUGGUCACUUUCGACACAACAUACAGAACCAAUCUUUAUAAUAUGCCAUUUGGUAUUUUUGUUGGCGUGAACAAUCACUACCAGUCAACCAUUUUUGGAGGUGUGCUCAUGCGCGAGGAAACAGUAGCUGGAUUCGAGUGGGCUUUCAGAAAUUUUGUUGAAGUUAUGAAUCGGAAACAUCCGGUCACCAUCCUAACAGAUCAGUGUAGAGCAAUGGAAGGGGCAAUAAGAAAUGUACUUCCAAAUACAAGACACCGUUGGUGUAAAUGGCAUGUCAUGAAGUGUGCUAAAGAACAUCUCGGAGGUGUCUACAGCAAGAAGAGUUUAGUCAAAGAAGAAUUCCACAAACUCAUAAAUGAGAUCCUUUGCGUUUCCCAGUUUGAGGACAAAUGGGCCAAACUCCUGGAUAAGCAUGAUCUGAUUCAAAAUAAGUACCUAAGAGCAAUUUGUAUUCGAAUCGCGAGAAGUGGGCUAAACCUUAUUUUUCAGAUGUUUUCUGUGCUGGCAUGACGAGCACUCAACGAAGUGAAAGCGCUAACCACCUCUUGAAGCAGUACAUUCCUAGAUCAUCGCCUAUGCACUUGUUUGUGAAGCAGUACAAUAACCUACUAAGGUCAAGAAGGUCGGAUGAAGGAAAGGAACAACACAACACCAAUGCG